Oncorhynchus keta (chum salmon) is the source of this 5487-nucleotide long non-coding RNA. RefSeq lists it as uncharacterized. The record is from RefSeq and is a predicted model, not a curated record. The transcript is spliced from 4 exons. NCBI's taxonomy places the organism in Eukaryota, Metazoa, Chordata, Actinopteri, Salmoniformes, Salmonidae.
CAAAGGCACUCCUUCGAUAUAAAUGUGUUUUUUUUAACAAAAAUGAAAACGUGUCAGUGUAUCACUUUCACGAGGUUGGAGUAAGAACAUGUUCAACGAUUUAAGAAAUUGUCUCGAAUGUAAGUUGUUAAUUUUCUCCUAAUCUAAAGGCACAACUAAGGACGAAUUGUUUCACUUCUCUCAUUGACUUCUCAAACCCCAAACACCAGCAUGGUCUGUUUCACAAGCGUUCUCAUAAAUCUCGCGAUGUUACGCUUCUGGGUUUAGAAACUCUGUGAUGUCGUGCUUGUCGCAAAUUGAUGAACAAUGAAGCUAUCAUGUAACAUUGAUAAGAUUCCUGCAAAAUGAUCUGCUUUUCAUAGGCAAGUAUAUAAACAUGUUUUUUCCCCACUUUAUUUUUUACGAACUGGUUCAAUAAUCAUAUCCUGCUGGUGAGUCAACUGUUUAAUGUAGAAGGAUUGUUACUCAAUAAUGAGGAAUUUUUAACUUGUUACAAUAUCCCUGUAACACCUAGAGAGUUGGCCAUAGUUUUUGAUGCUAUUCCAUCUGGAACUCUCAUGUUAUUUAGAGGUGUAACCAGACCUCACCUUGUUGACAUACCCUCCUAGAGAGUUCUCCAUAGUCUCUGAUGCUAUUCCAUCUGGAACUCUCAUGUUAUUUAGAGGUGUAACCAGACCUCACCUUGUUGACCUUCCCUCCUAGAGAGUUCUCCAUAGUCUCUGAUGCUAUUCCAUCUGGAACUCUCAUGUUAUUUAGAGGUGUAACCAGACCUCACCUUGUUGACCUGUCCUCCUAGAGAGUUCUCCAUAGUCUCUGAUGCUAUUCCAUCUGGAACUCUCAUGUUAUUUAGAGGUGUAACCAGACCUCACCUUGUUGACCUGCCCUCCUAGAGAGUUCUCCAUAGUCUCUGAUGCUAUUCCAUCUGGAACUCUCAUGUUAUUUAGAUGUGUAGUCAGACCUCACCUUGUUGACCUACCCUCCUAGAGAGUUCUCCAUAGUCUCUGAUGCUAUUCCAUCUGGAACUCUCAUGUUAUUUAGAGGUGUAACCAGACCUCACCUUGUUGACCUGCCCUCCUAGAGAGUUCUCCAUAGUCUCUGAUGCUAUUCCAUCUGGAACUCUCAUGUUAUUUAGAUGUGUAGUCAGACCUCACCUUGUUGACCUACCCUCCUAGAGAGUUCUCCAUAGCCUCUGAUGCUAUUCCAUCUGGAACUCUCAUGUUAUUUAGAGGUGUAGCCAGACCUCACCUUGUUGACCUACCCUCCUAGAGAGUUCUCCAUAGCCUCUGAUGCUAUUCCAUCUGGAACUCUCAUGUUAUUUAGAGGUGUAACCAGACCUCACCUUGUUGACCUUCCCUCCUAGAGAGUUCUCCAUAGCCUCUGAUGCUAUUCCAUCUGGAACUCUCAUGUUAUUUAGAGGUGUAACCAGACCUCACCUUGUUGACCUUCCCUCCUAGAGAGUUCUCCAUAGCCUCUGAUGCUAUUCCAUCUGGAACUCUCAUGUUAUUUAGAGGUGUAACCAGACCUCACCUUGUUGACCUUCCCUCCUAGAGAGUUCUCCAUAGCCUCUGAUGCUAUUCCAUCUGGAACUCUCAUGUUAUUUAGAGGUGUAACCAGACCUCACCUUGUUGACCUGCCCUCCUAGAGAGUUCUCCAUAGUCUCUGAUGCUAUUCCAUCUGGAACUCUCAUGUUAUUUAGAGGUGUAACCAGACCUCACCUUGUUGACCUUCCCUCCUAGAGAGUUCUCCAUAGCCUCUGAUGCUAUUCCAUCUGGAACUCUCAUGUUAUUUAGAGGUGUAACCAGACCUCACCUUGUUGACCUUCCCUCCUAGAGAGUUCUCCAUAGCCUCUGAUGCUAUUCCAUCUGGAACUCUCAUGUUAUUUAGAGGUGUAACCAGACCUCACCUUGUUGACCUGCCCUCCUAGAGAGUUCUCCAUAGUCUCUGAUGCUAUUCCAUCUGGAACUCUCAUGUUAUUUAGAGAUGUAGCCAGACCUCACCUUGUUGACCUGCCCUCCUAGAGAGUUCUCCAUAGUCUCUGAUGCUAUUCCAUCUGGAACUCUCAUGUUAUUUAGAGAUGUAGCCAGACCUCACCUUGUUGACCUGCCCUCCUAGAGAGUUCUCCAUAGUCUCUGAUGCUAUUCCAUCUGGAACUCAUGUUAUUUAGAGGUGUAACCAGACCUCACCUUGUUGACAUACCCUCCUAGAGAGUUCUCCAUAGCCUCUGAUGCUAUUCCAUCUGGAACUCUCAUGUUAUUUAGAGGUGUAACCAGACCUCACCUUCUAGACCUACCCUCCUAGAGAGUUCUCCAUAGUCUCUGAUGCUAUUCCAUCUGGAACUCUCAUGUUAUUUAGAGGUGUAACCAGACCUCACCUUCUAGACCUACCCUCCUAGAGAGUUCUCCAUAGUCUCUGAUGCUAUUCCAUCUGGAAAUCUCAUGUUAUUUAGAGGUGCAGCCAGAUCUCACCUUGUUGACCUGUCCUCCUAGAGAGUUCUCCAUAGUCUCUGAUGCUAUUCCAUCUGGAACUCUCAUGUUAUUUAGAGGUGUAACCAGACCUCACCUUGUUGACAUACCCUCCUAGAGAGUUCUCCAUAGUCUCUGAUGCUAUUCCAUCUGGAACUCUCAUGUUAUUUAGAGGUGUAACCAGACCUCACCUUGUUGACCUGCCCUCCUAGAGAGUUCUCCAUAGUCUCUGAUGCUGUUCUAUCUGGAACUCUCAUGUUAUUUAGAGGUGUAGCCAGACCUCACCUUGUUGACCUUCCCUCCUUAAUCCAGUUGACUCUCCAAUAGGGAAAAUAUGUUUCUCUUCACUCCCUCAGAACAACAGAUCUAUACCUGCUUUAUUUCAAAGGGAGAUUGUAUCCAAUCCUUAUGUCACAACUUACUGGAAUACAUUGGUCACUAAUAUCUGUUGGGAAAAAGUCUGGUUAUUACCACACAAAUAUUUUCUUGUUAACAAGGUCAAAGAGGUCUCUUUCAGAAUGAUCCAUAAGUAUGACCCUGUCGAAUCAUUACCUGAAGAAACUCCAAAAAGACAUUAACAUUGAUUGUACUUUUUGUGUUGAGCAGCCAGAAACAGUUAAUUUAUUUUGGCAUUGUCUACAUUGUCUACGUUGUCUACAUGUAAAACAAUUAUGAAAAGAUAUUCACAGUUUUAUAAUUGUUAAUAUUCUUGAUGACUUUAGUUUUUUUAUGGGAGAAUAUGUUGCUCGGUUUUAAACUAUUUUAGCUCAUAAAUCUAAUUGUGCUAAUGGAAAAAUACAUGUAAAUUCACUAAUAAAAAAAACACUGUUCCGUCUUUUCUAUAAGGAAUUCGAGCAGUACAUUAAGACCUUAAGACUAUUCUACAUUCUUCUAAUCAGAAAGCUGUUAAAACAAUCGAUAUGUGUGUUCAUUUUAAGGUCUUUGUAUAAUCUGUCAUUUGUUCUACCCCGUAGCAUAUGUUAUCAUUGUCUAUUUAUGUAUACAGACUUUUCUACAUUGGUAAUAAACAUAACAACUUUUUUAUAUAUAUAUAUAUAUUAAAUAUAUUUUUUUAAAUUAAAUAAAAUGAAGCUAUCAUGUGAGAAGACUUCGUGCCAUGAUGCAAGUUCAUUUAUGGACAGACUGGGCAAAGAUUACAACGUACCAGUUGGUAUAUGUUGGAAAGGUUCUCAUCUCAGCCUCCAGUAUUUCUGCUGCAGUAGUUUGUGUCGGGGGGCUGGGGUCAGUUUGUUAUAUCUGGAGUACUUCUCCUGUCCUAUUCGGUGUCCUGUGUGAAUCUAAGUGUGCGUUCUCUAAUUCUCUCCUUCUCUCUUUAUUUCUCUCUCUCGGAUGACCUGAGCCCAAGGACCGUGCCCCAGGACUACCUGACAUGAUGACUCCUUGCUGUCCCCAGUCCACCUGGCCGUGCUGCUGCUCCAGUUUCAACUGACCGGAGCCCUAGGACCAUGUCCCAGGACUACCUGACAUGAUGACUCCUUGCUGUCCCCGGUCCACCUGGCCGUGCUGCUGCUCCAGUUUUAACUGUUCUGCCUUAUUAUUAUUCGACCAUGCUGGUCAUUUAUGAACAUUUGAACAUCUUGGCCAUGUUCUGUUAUAAUCUCCACCCGGCACAGCCAGAAGAGGACUGGCCACCCCACAUAGCCUGGUUCCUCUCUAGGUUUCUUCCUAGGUUUUGGCCUUUCUAGGGAGUUUUUCCUAGCCACCGUGCUUCUACACCUGCAUUGCUUGCUGUUUUGGGGUUUUAGGCUGGGUUUCUGUACAGCACUUUGAGAUAUCAGCUGAUGUACGAAGGGCUAUAUAAAUACAUUUGAUUUGAUUUGAUUUAGCGUCAUACCCAAGAAGACUUGAGGCUGUAAUCGCUGCCAAAGGUGCUUAAACAAAGUACUGAGUAAAGGGUCUGAAUACUUAUGUGAUAUUUCAGUUAAAGGAUUUAUAAAUUUGCUAAACAUUUCGAAAAACCUGUUUUUGCUUCGUCAUUAUGGGGUAUUGUCUGUAGAUUGAUGAGUAAAAACAACAAUUUAAUCCAUUUUAGAAUAAGACUGUAACGUAACAAAAUGUAUGAACAUAUCUAUCUACCUCAAUUACCUCGUACCCCUGCACAUCAACUCAGUACUGGUACCCCAUGUAUAUAGCCAAGUUAUUACCUCGUACCCCUGCACAUCGACUCAGUACUGGUACCCCAUGUAUAUAGCCAAGUUAUUACCUCGUACCCCUGCACAUCGACUCAGUACUGGUACCCCAUGUAUAUAGCCAAGUUAUUACCUCGUACCCCUGCACAUCGACUCAGUACUGGUAGCCCGUGUAUAUAGCCAAGUUAUUACCUCGUACCCCUGCACAUCGACUCAGUACUGGUAGCCCGUGUAUAUAGCCAAGUUAUUACCUCGUACCCCUGCACAUCGACUCAGUACUGGUACUGUAUAUAGCCAAGUUAUUACCUCGUACCCCUGCACAUCGACUCAGUACUGGUACCCCAUGUAUAUAGCCAAGUUAUUACCUCGUACCCCUGCACAUCGACUCAGUACUGGUACCCCAUGUAUAUAGCCAAGUUAUUACCUCGUACCCCUGCACAUCGACUCAGUACUGGUACCCCAUGUAUAUAGCCAAGUUAUUACCUCAUACCCCUGCACAUCGACUCAGUACUGGUACCCCAUGUAUAUAGCCAAGUUAUCGGUACUCAUUGUGAUUUGUAUUUUACAUUUUAGUCAGCAGAUGCUCUCUUAUCCAGAACGACUUAGAGGAUUUAAGUGCCUUUGCUCAAGGGCACAACUACACAUUUUUCACCUAGUCAGCUCUGGGAUUCAAACCAGUGACCUUUCGGUUACCAGUCAAAUUCUCUUAACCGCUACCUGCUCCUCGUGUUAUCAUUCAGAGAUCCUCACUGAACUUCUGGAGAGAGUUUGCUGCACUGAAAGUAAAGGGGCAGAAUAAUUUUGUACGCCCAAUUUUUCAGUUUUUUGAUUUGUUAAAAAAGUUUGAAAUAUCCAAUAAAUGUCAUUCCACUUCA